GGAGUUAGCCGGUGCUUCUUCUGUGAGUGAUGUCCUUCCUGCCGGCUAUUAACCCGCAGGCCUUCUUCCUCACUGAAAGUGCUUUACAACCCGAAGGCCUUCUUCACACACGCGGCAUGGCUGGAUCAGGGUUGCCCCCAUUGUCCAAUAUUCCCCACUGCUGCCUCCCGUAGGAGUCUGGGCCGUGUCUCAGUCCCAGUGUGGCUGAUCAUCCUCUCAGACCAGCUACGGAUCGUCGCCUUGGUGAGCCGUUACCUCACCAACCAGCUAAUCCGACAUAGGCUCAUCCGAUAGCGCGAGGCCCGAAGGUCCCCCGCUUUCCCCCGUAGGGCGUAUGCGGUAUUAGCCUGGGUUUCCCCAGGUUAUCCCCCACUACCGGGCAGAUUCCUAUGCAUUACUCACCCGUCCGCCGCUCGCCACCAGGGAGCAAGCUCCCCGUGCUGCCGCUCGACUUGCAUGUGUUAGGCCUGCCGCCAGCGUUCAAUCUGAGCCAGUNACACACUCACNCGAGCGGCGGCGCGACGACGCG
This 529-nucleotide ribosomal RNA is filed under the name uncultured bacterium. RNAcentral describes it as "partial 16S ribosomal RNA". The record is from RNAcentral.